GCUUUGGCGGUGCCGUGUGGCGGGGGAAUGCGUGGGCGGCGAGCGUUUGUCGGGGUUAUUGGUCGUAAAGGGCGUGUAGGCGGCCUGACAGGGCUGCUGUGAAAUCUCGAGGCUCAACCUCGAGGUGUCGGCGGAAACCGUCUUGCUUGAGUCCGGAAGAGGAGAGUGGAAUUCCUGGUGUAGCGGUGAAAUGCGCAGAUAUCAGGAAGAACACCUAUGGCGAAGGCAGCUCUCUGGGACGGUACUGACGCUGAGACGCGAAAGCGUGGGGAGCGAACAGGAUUAGAUACCCCGGUUGUC
This 300-nucleotide ribosomal RNA is filed under the name uncultured Lactobacillus sp. Its description in RNAcentral is "bacterial SSU rRNA". It matches the Rfam family "Bacterial small subunit ribosomal RNA", at positions 490 to 795 of the family's 1533-position model. Lineage: Bacteria; Bacillati; Bacillota; Bacilli; Lactobacillales; Lactobacillaceae. The record is from RNAcentral.